Molecule: ribosomal RNA, 468 nt
Filed under: uncultured bacterium
Lineage: Bacteria
Description: partial 16S ribosomal RNA
Rfam family: Bacterial small subunit ribosomal RNA
Source: RNAcentral
GACGAACGCUGGCGGCGUGCUUAACACAUGCAAGUCGAACGGAAAGGCCCUGCUUUUGUGGGGUGCUCGAGUGGCGAACGGGUGAGUAACACGUGAGUAACCUGCCCUUGACUUUGGGAUAACUUCAGGAAACUGGGGCUAAUACCGGAUAGGAGCUCCUGCUGCAUGGUGGGGGUUGGAAAGUUUCGGCGGUUGGGGAUGGACUCGCGGCUUAUCAGCUUGUUGGUGGGGUAGUGGCUUACCAAGGCUUUGACGGGUAGCCGGCCUGAGAGGGUGACCGGCCACAUUGGGACUGAGAGGCGGCCCAGACUCCUACGGGAGGCAGCAGUGGGGAAUAUUGCACAAUGGGCGGAAGCCUGAUGCAGCAACGCCGCGUGCGGGAUGACGGCCUUCGGGUUGUAAACCGCUUUCGCCUGUGACGAAGCGUGAGUGACGGUAAUGGGUAAAGAAGCACCGGCUAACUACGUG